GAACUUGUGUGCCUAGUGCACACGUACAAGCCUAAGCUUGUGUUCUUAUCAGAAACUCGGCAAAGCAACUCUUAUGUCAAUAAGUUGAGAUGGAGGUUAGGUCUUAAACAUUGUAUAGCGCAGCCUGGCGUUGGUAAGGGUGCCGGUAUUGCGCUCUUUUAUGAUGAAAGUGUCGAAGUAAUAAAGCUUGCCGUUGGCCCGAGGUACAUUGAUGUGUUAAUUCGUUUACAUUCCAGUGAUAUGCAAUGGCGAGGUACCUUUAUUUACGGUGAACCUAGAGCUCAUGAAAGGCACAAUAUGUGGGAAGUAUUGAGAAGAAUCAAGGGCCAGUCUAACGCACCAUGGUUGAUGGUUGGAGACUUUGACGAGACGAUGUGGCAAUCGGAACAUCUCUCGGCUUCAAAUAGGUCGGAGAAGCACAUGGAGAACUUUAGGAGAGUGCUCUCGGAUUGUAACCUAUUUGAUCUUGGGUAUAAGGGUCCCAGCUGGACAUACAACAACAAGCAGGGAGGAAGGAAAAAUGUAAGGGCCAGGUUGGACAGGGGGGUCGCAUCACCUGCUUGGACUGAAAAGUUCAAAAAUUCCUCAAUGGAACACAUCUGU
RNAcentral lists this ribosomal RNA (603 nucleotides) under Triticum aestivum (bread wheat). RNAcentral describes it as "partial small subunit ribosomal RNA". The record is from RNAcentral. Lineage: Eukaryota; Viridiplantae; Streptophyta; Magnoliopsida; Poales; Poaceae.